This 497-nucleotide ribosomal RNA is filed under the name uncultured bacterium. RNAcentral's name for it is "partial 16S ribosomal RNA". It matches the Rfam family "Bacterial small subunit ribosomal RNA", at positions 28 to 507 of the family's 1533-position model. The record is from RNAcentral.
GACGAACGCUGGCGGCGUGCCUAAUACAUGCAAGUUGAGCGAUGAAGAUUGGUGCUUGCACCAAUUUGAAGAGCAGCGAACGGGUGAGUAACGCGUGGGGAAUCUGCCUUUGAGCGGGGGACAACAUUUGGAAACGAAUGCUAAUACCGCAUAACGACUUUAAACAUAAGUUUUAAGUUUGAAAGAUGCAAUUGCAUCACUCAAAGAUGAUCCCGCGUUGUAUUAGCUAGUUGGUGAGGUAAAGGCUCACCAAGGCGAUGAUACAUAGCCGACCUGAGAGGGUGAUCGGCCACAUUGGGACUGAGACACGGCCCAAACUCCUACGGGAGGCAGCAGUAGGGAAUCUUCGGCAAUGGACGAAAGUCUGACCGAGCAACGCCGCGUGAGUGAAGAAGGUUUUCGGAUCGUAAAACUCUGUUGGUAGAGAAGAACGUUGGUGAGAGUGGAAAGCUCAUCAAGUGACGGUAACUACCCAGAAAGGGACGGCUAACUACGUG